Molecule: ribosomal RNA, 975 nt
Filed under: uncultured bacterium
Lineage: Bacteria
Description: bacterial SSU rRNA
Rfam family: Bacterial small subunit ribosomal RNA
Source: RNAcentral
UGGGACGGUUAUCCGGGAUUAUUGGGCGUAAAGAGCUCGUAGGCGGUUUGUCGCGUCUGCCGUGAAAGUCCGGGGCUCAACUCCGGAUCUGCGGUGGGUACGGGCAGACUAGAGUGAUGUAGGGGAGACUGGAAUUCCUGGUGUAGCGGUGAAAUGCGCAGAUAUCAGGAGGAACACCGAUGGCGAAGGCAGGUCUCUGGGCAUUAACUGACGCUGAGGAGCGAAAGCAUGGGGAGCGAACAGGAUUAGAUACCCUGGUAGUCCAUGCCGUAAACGUUGGGCACUAGGUGUGGGGGACAUUCCACGUUUUCCGCGCCGUAGCUAACGCAUUAAGUGCCCCGCCUGGGGAGUACGGCCGCAAGGCUAAAACUCAAAGGAAUUGACGGGGGCCCGCACAAGCGGCGGAGCAUGCGGAUUAAUUCGAUGCAACGCGAAGAACCUUACCAAGGCUUGACAUGGACCGGACCGGGCUGGAAACAGUCCUUCCCCUUUGGGGCCGGUUCACAGGUGGUGCAUGGUUGUCGUCAGCUCGUGUCGUGAGAUGUUGGGUUAAGUCCCGCAACGAGCGCAACCCUCGUUCCAUGUUGCCAGCGCGUAAUGGCGGGGACUCAUGGGAGACUGCCGGGGUCAACUCGGAGGAAGGUGGGGACGACGUCAAAUCAUCAUGCCCCUUAUGUCUUGGGCUUCACGCAUGCUACAAUGGCCGGUACAAAGGGUUGCGAUACUGUGAGGUGGAGCUAAUCCCAAAAAGCCGGUCUCAGUUCGGAUUGGGGUCUGCAACUCGACCCCAUGAAGUCGGAGUCGCUAGUAAUCGCAGAUCAGCAACGCUGCGGUGAAUACGUUCCCGGGCCUUGUACACACCGCCCGUCAAGUCACGAAAGUUGGUAACACCCGAAGCCGGUGGCCUAACCCCUUGUGGGAGGGAGCUGUCGAAAGUGGGACUGGCGAUUGGGACUAAGUCGUAACAAGGUAACC